Molecule: ribosomal RNA, 462 nt
Filed under: Bipolaris oryzae
Lineage: Eukaryota; Fungi; Ascomycota; Dothideomycetes; Pleosporales; Pleosporaceae
Description: eukaryotic LSU rRNA
Rfam family: 5.8S ribosomal RNA (bases 97-250)
Source: RNAcentral
UUCCUGGGCGGGUUCGCCCGCCACCAGGACCAAACCAUAAACCUUUUUUUCUUAUGCAGUUUCCAUCAGCGUCAGUAAAAACAAUGUAAUUAUUACAACUUUCAACAACGGAUCUCUUGGUUCUGGCAUCGAUGAAGAACGCAGCGAAAUGCGAUACGUAGUGUGAAUUGCAGAAUUCAGUGAAUCAUCGAAUCUUUGAACGCACAUUGCGCCCUUUGGUAUUCCAAAGGGCAUGCCUGUUCGAGCGUCAUUUGUACCUUCAAGCUUUGCUUGGUGUUGGGCGUUUUUUUGUCUCCCUCUUUCUGGGAGACUCGCCUUAAAACGAUUGGCAGCCGGCCUACUGGUUUCGGAGCGCAGCACAUUUUUUGCGCUUUGUAUCAGGAGAAAAGGACGGUACUCCAUCAAGACUCUACAUUUUUCACUUUUGACCUCGGAUCAGGUAGGGAUACCCGCUGAACUUAA